This 257-nucleotide long non-coding RNA is filed under the name Gouania willdenowi (blunt-snouted clingfish). RNAcentral's name for it is "lncRNA (ENSGWIG00000023172.1)". The record is from RNAcentral. Lineage: Eukaryota; Metazoa; Chordata; Actinopteri; Blenniiformes; Gobiesocidae.
GCCUCUGCUGAUCUCAGCACCUGGACUCCAGAAAGAUGAUGGAAGGGAUGAAAGGGCCGCUGACCAAUCAGAGGAGGACAUUUCCGGUAUCUCAUUCCAGUCCAAGUACAUGUAUAUCUUCCCUCUGUAUCAGGACUACUGUCUGCUGGAGGUGAAAGAUCUGCUCAGACUCAAAGACAGCUUUGUGUCCAAGCUGAGUCCCCAGUACCUACACCACCUGCAGUCUCGCCUUAACCCUGCUCCCAACUCUGAGCCCA